UCCAUGAUAUCGCUCUCCAGGCCACCUCACCCCUUUGCAUGUGUGACACGUGGCGGAGCAGGACAUCUCUCUUCCUUGCAUGUGUGACAUGUGUCCUGGCAGGACACCUCACAGGACACCUUAUAGGGACACCUCACCUUCUUCUUGGCCUAUAAAUAGGCCACCCCUCUUCCUUCUUCUUAACACAUGAAGAGCACCAAAGAAAGAGAGUGAGAGGAGAGAGUAGUUCUGAAGGUGAAAGCCCAAGAAGGAGUUCUUGAGCUGUGAAGGUCCAUCUUCUUCCUUCUCCCUUUCAGCCAACCUUCUGCCUCUCUGCGAGCUAGCACUCCCCGGGAAGCUGAUCAUUUCGGAGCUUCGCGUGGACGAGUCAUCGAGGCCGGACGCUUGUGCAGCUGCGAAGCAUCCUUGAAGGAA
Molecule: long non-coding RNA, 414 nt
Filed under: Phoenix dactylifera (date palm)
Lineage: Eukaryota; Viridiplantae; Streptophyta; Magnoliopsida; Arecales; Arecaceae
Description: long non-coding RNA (PDAC_LNC020254)
Source: RNAcentral